CCUACGGGAGGCAGCAGUGGGGAAUAUUGGGCAAUGGGCGCAAGCCUGACCCAGCAACGCCGCGUGAAGGAAGAAGGCUUUCGGGUUGUAAACUUCUUUUGUCAGGGACGAAGCAAGUGACGGUACCUGACGAAUAAGCCACGGCUAACUACGUGCCAGCAGCCGCGGUAAUACGUAGGUGGCAAGCGUUAUCCGGAUUUACUGGGUGUAAAGGGCGUGUAGGCGGGGAAGCAAGUCAGAUGUGAAAACCAGGGGCUCAACCUGUGGCCUGCAUUUGAAACUGUUUUUCUUGAGUACUGGAGAGGAAGACGGAAUUCGUGGGGUAGCGGUGAAAGGGGUAGAUAACAGGAGGAAAACAAGGGGCGAAGGGGGUCGGAGGGACAGCAAUGGACGCUGAGGGGCGAAAGCGGGGGGAGCAAACAGGAUUAGAUACCCUGUAGUC
Molecule: ribosomal RNA, 442 nt
Filed under: uncultured bacterium
Lineage: Bacteria
Description: partial 16S ribosomal RNA
Rfam family: Bacterial small subunit ribosomal RNA
Source: RNAcentral